GGAGGCCGGGAGGCUGGGGAGGGGCCGGCGAGGGCAGGAGCGCGCCUCCUGACAUGUGGGGGGCAUCCCUGGCCGCGCCGGGCCGGGGCUAGGAGCGGCACCGCGGGCCGGGGGCGCGUCGCGGUCCGCCCCUCCGUCCCUCCGUCCUGCCCAGCUGGGGACGUGCGUUCCGCACUCGGCCGCCUCGGGGUGGGAGCGGGGAAAGCGGCGGGAGGGUCGAGGAGAGGGAGCAUUCGCCUGAGGCUGGAGGAGGCUGACCUGCGUCCCCGCCCAGCCCGUGCCUAUGCGGUACUUGAAGGAUGGCGAAGAGGUCGCGCAGUGAGGAUGAGGAUGAUGACCUUCAGUAUGCUGAUCACGAUUAUGAAGUACCACAACAAAAAGGAUUGAAGAAACUCUGGAACAGAGUAAAAUGGACAAGAGAUGAGGAUGAUAAAUUAAAGAAGUUGGUUGGACAACAUGGAACUGAUGACUGGACUCUAAUUGCUAGUCAUCUUCAAAACCGUUCUGAUUUUCAAUGCCAGCAUCGAUGGCAGAAAGUUUUAAAUCCUGAAUUGAUAAAGGGUCCUUGGACUAAAGAAGAAGAUCAGAGGGUUAUUGAAUUAGUUCAGAAAUAUGGACCAAAACGAUGGUCUUUAAUUGCAAAACAUUUAAAAGGAAGAAUAGGGAAGCAGUGCAGAGAAAGAUGGCAUAAUCAUCUGAACCCUGAGGUGAAGAAAUCUUCUUGGACAGAAGAGGAGGACAGGAUCAUCUAUGAGGCACAUAAGCGGUUGGGAAAUCGUUGGGCAGAAAUUGCCAAACUACUUCCUGGAAGGACUGAUAAUUCUAUCAAAAAUCAUUGGAAUUCUACUAUGCGAAGAAAAGUGGAACAGGAGGGCUACUUACAAGAUGGAAUAAAAUCAGAACGAUCUUCAUCUAAGCUUCAACACAAACCUUGUGCGACUAUGGACCAUUUGCAAACCCAGAAUCAGUUUUACAUACCUGUUCAGAUCCCUGGCUAUCAGUAUGUGUCACCUGAAGGCAAUUGUGUAGAACAUGUUCAGACUUCUGCUUUUCUUCAGCAACCUUUUGUUGAUGAAGAUCCUGAUAAAGAAAAGAAAAUAAAGGAACUUGAGUUGCUGCUCAUGUCAGCUGAGAACGAAGUUAGAAGAAAGAGAUUUCCAUCGCAGCCUGGAAGCUUUUCUAGCUGGUCUGGUAGUUUCCUCAUGGAUGAUAGCAUGUCUAAUAAUAUAAAUAGCCUUGAGGAGCAUGCUAGUGAGUUUUACAGUAUGGAUGAAAAUCAGACCAUGUCUGCUCAGCAAAACUCACCCACGAAGUUCCUGGCUGUCGAAGCAAAUGCUGUGCUGUCCUCUCUACAGACCAUCCCAGAAUUUGCAGAGACUCUAGAGCUUAUUGAAUCUGAUCCUGUAGCAUGGAGUGAUGUGACCAGUUUUGAUCUUUCUGAUGCUGCUGCUUCUCCUGUUAAGUCCACCCCAGUUAAACUGAUGCGAAUUCAACACAAUGAAGGAGCCAUGGAAUGUCAAUUUAAUGUCAGUCUUGUACUUGAAGAAAAAAAGAACAGUUGUAACAAUGGAGAGAGUGAGGCUAUUCCUUUAACAACCCCAAAUGUGGCCAAGUUUAGCACUCCACCUACCAUCCUCAGAAAGAAGAGAAGAACGCGAGUAGGUCAGUCCCCAGGUAGUGAACUUGGUGAUGGCUCAUUCCAUGAUGGCGGUAAUACAGCACUAAAACACACGCCAGUGAAAACACUACCAUUUUCACCUUCACAGUUUUUCAACACAUGUCCUGGAAAUGAACAACUUAAUAUAGAAAAUCCUUCAUUUACAUCAACUCCUAUUUGUGGGCAAAAAGUUCUCAUUACAACUCCUCUUCAUAAGGAAGCAACUCCCAAAGAUCAAAAGGAAAAUGUAGGGUUUCGAACACCUACUAUUAGAAGAUCUAUAUUGGGUACCACACCAAGAACUCCUACUCCUUUUAAGAAUGCGCUUGCUGCACAGGAGAAAAAAUAUGGACCUCUUAAAAUUGUGACCCAGCCUCUUGCCUUCUUGGAAGAAGAUAUUCGGGAAGUUUUAAAAGAAGAAACUGGAACAGACAUAUUCCUCAAAGAAGAAGAUGAAUCUGGUUACAAAAGCUGCAAACAAGAGCAUCCUGCUUCUGUGAAGAAAGUCAGAAAAUCACUAGUCUUAGAUAGUUGGGAAAAAGAAGAACCAGGCACUCAACUGUUGACAGAAGACAUUACAGAUAUGCAGUCAAAUUGUGAAUGGGAGACAGUGGUUUAUGGGAAGACAGAAGAUCAGCUUAUCAUGACUGAACAAGCAAGAAGAUAUCUGAGUACUUACACGGCUACUAGCAGUACUUCAAGAGCUCUAAUACUUGAACAUAGUAAAGAACAAGUUUGGCCUUGAAGUAUGAAACAGUCGCAAGUUACAGCUGCAAAGAAUACAAUAUCUAUACUGUAUGUCACAUCUACCUAAAUAUUGCACUAUGCCCUUUAAAUCAUGUUGGUUAUAAAGUAGUUCUAAAAAUGUACUAAAUAAUAAUUUAAUAUUUUCUUUUUAAAUUAUAUUGGGGGGUCAUAUAAAUUAAUCUGGUGAUUUGUAUAUGUGUUUAAAAUUUUUUGCAUUUUGUUUAAAAAAAUAAUAUGGUACCUUGGUCCCUAAAAACAGUAUGCACUUAGAAAUUUAUUAUUAUUUACUCAAUGUUUCAGAAGUAGAGAACAUUAUCUCUUAUUUAUAAAAAUAUUUUGUCCUUUUAUAAAUGUUUUGUGUUUCUCUACAGGUUACAACAGUUGCUUCAGUUGCCUGUAUUAGUAUGCUGCUAUAGAAAAUAGCAGAAUCGGCUUGCUGCUAUGAGAGAAGGAAAGAGCGACCACCACUUGCACUGUGUGAAAGGAUGAAAAGCAAAUGAUGGCAAGUUCCCAAGUUAACUUAAAAAUGGAAUCAACCAUUACCUGGAAAUUCUUACAGAUACCAAAAUCCUGCUAUGCUUUAAAAAAGCAAAAUAAAAACACCUUGAGAUUUCCAUAUCUGGUUUUUGUUAGUAGAAGUGGAAAUACUAAGUAUUUUAAUGCCUAGCUCUUGAACCGUAGAUCUAAAGGGUUUUAAGCUAUUUAAAUCCACUGGCUAGUUUUUGCAUAUUACAUGUAGUGAGAAGUGAAGAAAAUGUAUGGUACUAAGAUUAUGCCUUACUGAUAACAAAUAGAUAAACCAAUUUGAAUCUUCUUAGUAUGUUAAGUAUUUUUGAUUGCUUUAUAAUUAAUGAACUUCUCACAGAAAUUUCAUUUUGUAAAACCAAUGAUUGUUGCAAAGUGUAACUACUAUUUCAGUUAAUUUGAACUGAUAGCACAUAAUGGUUUUUUUGUCGUCAUUUUUUGCUUUUUAAAAAAUGUAGCCUUUAGUUGGUUUGGAUGUACAUAGUCUCCAGUCACCAAACUGUAAUAUCUGGAAAGAGCUAUAUUUUUUUAAGCCUAAUUUUUCUUGAGCAUUAAGUUAUCCAAAUGAUAACAUAUUGUGGCUAAGUCUGGGCGUACUGGACGUCAUACAUAUUUGGGUUGGUAUUGGUUGAAUCCUCCAGUUAACUGCUUUGUUGCUUUUUGCAAGAUUUUUAAUCUCAAAAAUGUCAGGCAUCUUAAGUCACCUUUAUACUGCUGAGUUCAUUUGAACUUUUUGUAAUAUGUUGUAAAAAUGCCAGACAUACAUGUAGCAGCCAUACUUGCAUAGAAACUGACUACACAUUUAUAAUACUGCAUAUUGUUGUAAGGUUUUCACAUUAAUACUACAAUUACCCUGACUAAAUUGAAUUUUUUAAUGUAUGGGAAAACUCUACAUUGUAAGAGAAUCUUGCAUACAAUGUCAACAUAUAUUUAUAUCCAAAAUAAAGCCUUUGUGUA
RNA transcript from Tupaia belangeri chinensis (Chinese tree shrew), 3886 nucleotides. It is a transcript of the gene named MYB proto-oncogene like 1, with no coding region annotated. NCBI's taxonomy places the organism in Eukaryota, Metazoa, Chordata, Mammalia, Scandentia, Tupaiidae. The transcript is spliced from 17 exons. The record is from RefSeq and is a predicted model, not a curated record.